UUUCUUCGGAAAUGGAUUAGCGGCGAACGGGUGAGGAACACGUGAAGAAUCUGCCCUCCACUUUGGGAUAACACCGGGAAACCGGUGCUAAUACCGAAUAUUGAAACAUAAGUGGCAUCACUGAGUUUUGAAAGAAUUUCGGUGGAGGAUGACUUCGCGGCCUAUCAGCUAGUUGGUGAGGUAAUGGCUCACCAAGGCAACGACGGGUAGCCGGCCUGAGAGGGCGACCGGCCACACUGGGACUGAUACACGGCCCAGACUCCUACGGGAGGCAGCAGUGGGGAAUAUUGGGCAAUGGAGGAAACUCUGACCCAGCGACGCCGCGUGCGGGAUGAAGGCCUUCGGGUUGUAAACCGCUUUCAGUAGGGAAGAAGCGAAAGUGACGGUACCUGC
Molecule: ribosomal RNA, 393 nt
Filed under: uncultured Actinomycetes bacterium
Lineage: Bacteria; Bacillati; Actinomycetota; Actinomycetes
Description: bacterial SSU rRNA
Rfam family: Bacterial small subunit ribosomal RNA
Source: RNAcentral